This 424-nucleotide ribosomal RNA is filed under the name uncultured bacterium. RNAcentral's name for it is "partial 16S ribosomal RNA". It matches the Rfam family "Bacterial small subunit ribosomal RNA", at positions 360 to 776 of the family's 1533-position model. The record is from RNAcentral.
AAUUUUUAACAAUGGGGGAAACCCUGAUCCAGCCAUCCCGCGUGUAUGAUGAAGGCCUGCGGGUUGUAAAGUACUUUUGGCAGAGAGGAAAAGGUAUCCCCUAAUACGGGAUACUGCUGACGGUAUCUGCAGAAUAAGCACCGGCUAACUACGUGCCAGCAGCCGCGGUAAUACGUAGGGUGCAAGCGUUAAUCGGAAGUACUGGGCGUAAACCGUGUGUAGGCGGUUCGGAACGAAAGAUGUGAAAUCCCAGGGCUACACCUUGGAACUGCAUUUUUAACUGACGAGCUAGCGUCAGUCAGAGGGGGGUAGCAUUCCACGUGUCGCAGUGAAAUGCGUAGAUAUGUGGAGGAAUACCGAUGGCGAUGGCAGCCCCCUGGGAUAAUACUGACGCUCAGACACGAAAGCGUGGGGAGCAAACAGG